UACAGAGGGGGCAAGCGUUGUUCGGAAUUACUGGGCGUAAAGGGCGCGUAGGCGGCCUGCUAAGUCGAACGUGAAAUCCCUGGGCUCAACCCAGGAACUGCGUCCGAUACUGGUUGGCUUGAAUCCGGGAGAGGGAUGUGGAACUCCAGGUGUAGCGGUGAAAUGCGCAGAUAUCUGGGGGAAGGCCGGCGGCGAAGGCGCCAUUCUGGGAAAUUCCUGACACUGAGGCACGAAAGCGUGGGGAGCAAACAGG
This 253-nucleotide ribosomal RNA is filed under the name uncultured bacterium. Its description in RNAcentral is "partial 16S ribosomal RNA". It matches the Rfam family "Bacterial small subunit ribosomal RNA", at positions 524 to 776 of the family's 1533-position model. The record is from RNAcentral.